RNAcentral lists this ribosomal RNA (474 nucleotides) under Triticum aestivum (bread wheat). RNAcentral's name for it is "partial small subunit ribosomal RNA". The record is from RNAcentral. Lineage: Eukaryota; Viridiplantae; Streptophyta; Magnoliopsida; Poales; Poaceae.
AUGCGGCGCCGCCAUCGGCUGACGCCGGAGACGAGAAGCAUCCUCCCGCCUCAUCUUCUCUGCGGAUCCAGCCUCCUCGGGCAGCGAGCUGCCUGCGGGGGAGGAGGGGCAGCGUCGGCGGGGCUGCGGUGGAGGAGCGGCAGGAGGUACAAGUCGCGACGCCUGAUUCAGGGGAACAGAGGUGCCGCAGCCCGCGGGCAGUGGCAAGUGCACGGCAUAGCGGCAGAAGGAAUGCCUAGCACCCGCCUGGUGCCGGCGGCGGGGGCAGAAAGGGGCGGUGGCCGGUGGGGCUCUAGCACCCGCCGGGCGGCCGCCGCCACAUCAAGCUCGGCGAGCUCCAGCUCCCUGGACAUGCCGCCGAUGUGCGAUGAAGUAGUAUGCUGUGUGGAGUACCACUUGGAGACAGUUUCAGGCAGUAGAAAGAUCAGCUCCAAACAAGGACAAGGUAGUCAGGUAACUCUAGUGCGGCACUAG